RNAcentral lists this ribosomal RNA (460 nucleotides) under uncultured bacterium. RNAcentral's name for it is "partial 16S ribosomal RNA". It matches the Rfam family "Bacterial small subunit ribosomal RNA", at positions 338 to 795 of the family's 1533-position model. The record is from RNAcentral.
CCUACGGGAGGCAGCAGUGAGGAAUAUUGGUCAAUGGACGAGAGUCUGAACCAGCCAAGUAGCGUGAAGGAUGACUGCCCUAUGGGUUGUAAACUUCUUUUAUAUGGGAAUAAAACAGGGUAUGCAUACCCUCUUGUAUGUACCAUAUGAAUAAGGAUCGGCUAACUCCUUGCCAGCAGCCGCGGUAAUACGGAGGAGCCGAGCGUUAUCCGGAUUUAUUGGGUUUAAAGGGAGCGUAGGUGGAUUGUUAAGUCAGUUGUGAAAGUUUGGGGCUCAACCGUAAAAUUGCAGUUGAAACUGGCAGUCUUGAGUACAGUAGAGGUGGGCGGAAUGCGUGGUGUAGCGGUGAAAUGCUUAGAUAUCACGAAGAACUCCGAUUGCGAAGGCAGCUCACUGGACUGCAACUGACACUGAUGCUCGAAAGUGUGGGUAGCAAACAGGAUUAGAUACCCCUGUAGUC